This 253-nucleotide ribosomal RNA is filed under the name uncultured bacterium. Its description in RNAcentral is "partial 16S ribosomal RNA". It matches the Rfam family "Bacterial small subunit ribosomal RNA", at positions 524 to 776 of the family's 1533-position model. The record is from RNAcentral.
GACGGAGGAUGCAAGAGUUAUCCGGAAUUAUAGGGCGUAAAGCGUACGUAGGCGGCUUAUCAAGUCUGGGGUCAAAGACCACAGCUUAACUGUGGAAAGGCCUUGGAAACUGGUGAGCUGGAGUGAGGUAGGGGUUGCGGGAAUUCCCGGUGUAGCGGUGAAAUGCGUAGAUAUCGGGAAGAACACCUGAGGCGAAAGCGCGCGACUGGGCCUUAACUGACGCUGAGGUACGAAAGCUAGGGGAGCGAAGGGG